AUUGAACGCUGGCGGCAUGCUUUACACAUGCAAGUCGAACGGUAACAGGCCGCAAGGUGCUGACGAGUGGCGAACGGGUGCGUAAUGCAUCGGAACGUGCCCAGUCGUGGGGGAUAACUACUCGAAAGAGUAGCUAAUACCUCAUACGAUCUAUGGCUGAAAGCGGGGGACCGUAAGGCCUCGCGCGAUUGGAGCGGCCGAUGUCAGAUUAGGUAGUUUGUGGGGUAAAGGCUCACCAAGCCAACGAUCUGUAGCUGGUCUGAGAGGACGACCAGCCACACUGGGACUGAGACACGGCCCAGACUCCUACGGGAGGCAGCAGUGGGGAAUUUUGGACAAUGGGCGCAAGCCUGAUCCAGCAAUGCCGCGUGCAGGAAGAAGGCCUUCGGGUUGUAAACUGCUUUUGUACGGAACGAAACGGCUCUGGUUAAUACCCGGGGCUAAUGACGGUACCGGAAGAAUAAGCACCGGCUAACUACGUG
This 482-nucleotide ribosomal RNA is filed under the name uncultured bacterium. RNAcentral's name for it is "partial 16S ribosomal RNA". It matches the Rfam family "Bacterial small subunit ribosomal RNA", at positions 30 to 507 of the family's 1533-position model. The record is from RNAcentral.